GAUGAACGCUAGCUGCAGGCUUAACACAUGCAAGUCGCGGGGCAGCAUGGGGGUUGCUUGCAAUCCCCGAUGGCGACCGGCGCACGGGUGAGUAACGCGUAUUCAACCUGCCCUUCACCACGGGAUAACCCGGCGAAAGUCGGACUACUACCGUAUGUUGUCCAUUGACGGCAUCCGAUUUGGACGAAAGGCUUGGCGGUGAGGGAGGGGGCUGCGUCCGAUUAGCCAGACGGCGGGGUAACGGCCCACCGUGGCUACGAUCGGUAGAGGUUCUGAGAGGAAGGUCCCCCACACGGGAACUGAGACACGGUCCAGACUCCUACGGGAGGCAGCAGUGAGGAAUAUUGGGCAAUGGGCGUAAGCCUGAACCAGCCAAGUAGCGUGCAGGAUGACGGCCCUAUGGGUUGUAAACUGCUUUUAUGCGGGGAUAAAGUGGCCCACGUGUGGGCUUUUGCAGGUACCGCAUGAAUAAGGACCGGCUAAUUCCGUG
RNAcentral lists this ribosomal RNA (490 nucleotides) under uncultured bacterium. RNAcentral describes it as "partial 16S ribosomal RNA". It matches the Rfam family "Bacterial small subunit ribosomal RNA", at positions 28 to 507 of the family's 1533-position model. The record is from RNAcentral.